RNAcentral lists this ribosomal RNA (327 nucleotides) under Allantion sp. RNAcentral describes it as "SSU rRNA". The stretch from base 106 to 327 matches the Rfam family "Eukaryotic small subunit ribosomal RNA", at positions 732 to 955 of the family's 1831-position model. The record is from RNAcentral. Lineage: Eukaryota; Cercozoa; Glissomonadida; Allapsidae.
GAUUUCUGACAUUAAUGCGCUUGGCCCGCUACGGUUACGUAUGUGUGUGCCGAGUCGUGUUUGUCAUCCUUCUAGAGAAUGCGGGACGGCUCUUCACUGAGUCGCUCCGUCACAAUCUAGAUCUUUUACUUUGAAAAAAUUAGAGUGUUUAAAGCAGGCGUUUGCUAUGAAUACAUUAGCAUGGAAUAAUAAUUUAGGACUUCGGUUCUAUUUUGUUGGUUUCUAGAACUGAAGUAAUGAUUGAUAGGGAUGGUUGGGGGUGCUCGUAUUCAGUGGCCAGAGGUGAAAUUCUCGGAUUCACUGAAGACGAACUUAUGCGAAAGCAUU